Molecule: ribosomal RNA, 554 nt
Filed under: uncultured bacterium
Lineage: Bacteria
Description: bacterial SSU rRNA
Rfam family: Bacterial small subunit ribosomal RNA
Source: RNAcentral
GCGGACGGGUGAGUAACGCGUGGAUGACCUGCCCUCCGGUGGGGGAUAACCCGGGGAAACCCGGGCUAAUACCGCUUACGUCCAUAGGCUGUGGUCUAUGGGGAAAGCUGGCCUCUGGUUCAAGCCAGUGCCGGAGGAGGGGUCCGCGUCGGAUUAGCUGGUUGGUGGGGUAACGGCCUACCAAGGCGACGAUCCGUAGCUGGCCUGAGAGGAUGGUCAGCCACACUGGGACUGAGACACGGCCCAGACUCCUACGGGAGGCAGCAGUGAGGAAUCUUGGACAAUGGGGGCAACCCUGAUCCAGCAAUGCCGCGUGGGUGAAGAAGGCUUUCGGGUUGUAAAGCCCUUUCGCCGGGGAGGACGCGGUCCGGCUCCAACAGGGGCGGGCUGUGACGUUACCUGGAGAAGAAGCGCCGGCCAACUCCGUGCCAGCAGCCGCGGUAACACGGGGGGCGCAAGCGUUAAUCGGAAUCACUGGGCGUAAAGGGCGCGUAGGCGGUGCGCCAAGUCGGGUGUGAAAGCCCCGGGCUCAACCUGGGAAGGGCACUCGAAAC